AACGAACGUUAGCGGCGCGCCUAACACAUGCAAGUCGAGCGAGAAAGGGAGCAAUCCCCGGUACAGCGGCGCACGGGUGAGUAACACGUAGGUAACCAACCUCCGAGUGGUGGAUAACCUUCCGAAAGGAGGGCUAAUACAGCAUGAGCCCACGGCGACGAGAGUCGCAGGGGGAAAAGCCGGCCAAUCCAUGGAAGCUGGCGUUUGGAGACGGGCCUGCGGCCCAUCAGCUAGUUGGUGAGGUAAUGGCUCACCAAGGCAAAGACGGGUAGCUGGUCUGAGAGGAUGAUCAGCCACACUGGAACUGAGACACGGUCCAGACUCCUACGGGAGGCAGCAGUGGGGAAUCUUGCGCAAUGGGCGAAAGCCUGACGCAGCGACGCCGCGUGGGUGAUGAAGGCCUUCGGGUUGUAAGACCCUGUGGAGGGGGACGGAAGUAAGUACUUGGCGUAACAUCCAAGAUGAUGACGGUA
Molecule: ribosomal RNA, 473 nt
Filed under: uncultured bacterium
Lineage: Bacteria
Description: bacterial SSU rRNA
Rfam family: Bacterial small subunit ribosomal RNA
Source: RNAcentral